GCAGAUAUGGCCGAGUGGUUUAAGGCGGUGGUCUUAAGUUUGCAGAACACUUAUCACCAUUAUCGAGAGAUUCGUGGGUUCGAAUCCCACUGUCUGCA
This is a non-coding RNA of Coniochaeta sp. PMI_546, 98 nucleotides long. The record is from the annotation of a GenBank genome assembly. NCBI's taxonomy places the organism in Eukaryota, Fungi, Ascomycota, Sordariomycetes, Coniochaetales, Coniochaetaceae.